Molecule: ribosomal RNA, 465 nt
Filed under: uncultured bacterium
Lineage: Bacteria
Description: partial 16S ribosomal RNA
Rfam family: Bacterial small subunit ribosomal RNA
Source: RNAcentral
GAUGAACGCUGGCGGCGUGCUUAACACAUGCAAGUCGAACGGAAAGGCUCCUGCUUGCAGGGGCACUCGAGUGGCGAACGGGUGAGUAACACGUGGUGAUCUGCCCUGCACUUCGGGAUAAGCCUGGGAAACUGGGUCUAAUACCGGAUAGGACCAUCGUUUAGUGUCGGUGGUGGAAAGUUUUUUCGGUGUGGGAUGAGCUCGCGGCCUAUCAGCUUGUUGGUGGGGUAAUGGCCUACCAAGGCGUCGACGGGUAGCCGGCCUGAGAGGGUGUACGGCCACAUUGGGACUGAGAUACGGCCCAGACUCCUACGGGAGGCAGCAGUGGGGAAUAUUGCACAAUGGGCGCAAGCCUGAUGCAGCGACGCCGCGUGGGGGAUGACGGCCUUCGGGUUGUAAACUCCUUUCGCCAGGGACGAAGCGAAAGUGACGGUACCUGGAUAAGAAGCACCGGCUAACUACGUG